This 72-nucleotide transfer RNA is filed under the name Camelus bactrianus (Bactrian camel). It matches the Rfam family "tRNA". From Rfam's summary of the family: Transfer RNA (tRNA) molecules are approximately 80 nucleotides in length. RNAcentral also lists the same sequence under 2 other names. The record is from Rfam by way of RNAcentral. Lineage: Eukaryota; Metazoa; Chordata; Mammalia; Artiodactyla; Camelidae.
GAGGGCAUGGCUCAGUGGUAGAGUGUGUGCUUAGCAUGCGCAAGGUCCUGGGUUCAAUCCCCAGUACCUUCG